GAGUUUGAUCAUGGCUCAGAGUGAACGCUGGCGGCAGGCCUAACACAUGCAAGUCGAACGGCAGCACAGCAGUAGCAAUACUGUGGGUGGCGAGUGGCGGACGGGUGAGGAAUGCAUCGGAAUCUGCCUAUUUGUGGGGGAUAACGUAGGGAAACUUACGCUAAUACCGCAUACGUCCUACGGGAGAAAGUGGGGGACCGCAAGGCCUCACGCAGAUAGAUGAGCCGAUGCCGGAUUAGCUAGUUGGCGGGGUAAAGGCCCACCAAGGCGACGAUCCGUAGCUGGUCUGAGAGGAUGAUCAGCCACACUGGAACUGAGACACGGUCCAGACUCCUACGGGAGGCAGCAGUGGGGAAUAUUGGACAAUGGGCGCAAGCCUGAUCCAGCCAUGCCGCGUGUGUGAAGAAGGCCUUCGG
Molecule: ribosomal RNA, 416 nt
Filed under: uncultured Gammaproteobacteria bacterium
Lineage: Bacteria; Pseudomonadati; Pseudomonadota; Gammaproteobacteria
Description: bacterial SSU rRNA
Rfam family: Bacterial small subunit ribosomal RNA
Source: RNAcentral